AACGAACGCUGGCGGCAUGCCUAACACAUGCAAGUCGAACGAGACCUUCGGGUCUAGUGGCGCACGGGUGCGUAACGCGUGGGAAUCUGCCCUUGGGUUCGGAAUAACAGUUAGAAAUGACUGCUAAUACCGGAUAAUGUCUUCGGACCAAAGAUUUAUCGCCCAGGGAUGAGCCCGCGUAGGAUUAGCUAGUUGGUGAGGUAAAGGCUCACCAAGGCGACGAUCCUUAGCUGGUCUGAGAGGAUGAUCAGCCACACUGGGACUGAGACACGGCCCAGACUCCUACGGGAGGCAGCAGUGGGGAAUAUUGGACAAUGGGCGAAAGCCUGAUCCAGCAAUGCCGCGUGAGUGAUGAAGGCCUUAGGGUUGUAAAGCUCUUUACCCGGGAUGAUAAUGACAGUACCGGGAGAAUAAGCCCCGGCUAACUCCGUGCCAGCAG
Molecule: ribosomal RNA, 439 nt
Filed under: uncultured bacterium
Lineage: Bacteria
Description: bacterial SSU rRNA
Rfam family: Bacterial small subunit ribosomal RNA
Source: RNAcentral